This is a long non-coding RNA of Leptonychotes weddellii (Weddell seal), 466 nucleotides long. RefSeq lists it as uncharacterized. The record is from RefSeq and is a predicted model, not a curated record. NCBI's taxonomy places the organism in Eukaryota, Metazoa, Chordata, Mammalia, Carnivora, Phocidae.
GCGGAAGGCAGACGCUUAAAGACAGAGCCACCCAGGUGCCCCGGAAAACGACGUUAUAAGAGAAAUGUUGCCUACCUGACUGUAGGGGAAGAAGCAACUUCAAGUUGAACGGCAGGGUCUGUGGGUACCAGUAAGACACUCCUCAGGAGGAAACAUGUAAACAAUAUUUCCAUAACUCAGGCAAGGAAAGCUGGAUCAAAAGAGAGCUUCAGCUUGGAUGCAAUGUCUGGGGACAUAGAGAUUAGACACUGAUCUGGGAAGAAGGGCAUGCAAAAAGGUUAAAAGAAAGAAGAAAGGAGUGCAACGACUACAGAUGACAAAGUUUUAAAAAGACUUGGUAAAGUGAAGAGAAAGGGAGAGAAAGAGAGAGAAUGACGAGAGAAUAAACUACAUCAUUUCCCUUUGGAUUAGUUAAGGUGUUUGUCCCACAUUUGCUUGAUUAUCAUAAGGAUCCCUUAAGAUGAUU